UAUAAGACUGGGAUAACUUCGGGAAACCGGAGCUAAUGCCGGAUAACAUAUAGAACCGCAUGGUUCUAUAGUGAAAGAUGGUUUUGCUAUCACUUAUAGAUGGACCCGCGCCGUAUUAGCUAGUUGGUAAGGUAAUGGCUUACCAAGGCGACGAUACGUAGCCGACCUGAGAGGGUGAUCGGCCACACUGGAACUGAGACACGGUCCAGACUCCUACGGGAGGCAGCAGUAGGGAAUCUUCCGCAAUGGGCGAAAGCCUGACGGAGCAACGCCGCGUGAGUGAUGAAGGUUUUCGGAUCGUAAAACUCUGUUAUUAGGGAAGAACAAAUGCGUAAGUAACUGUGCGCAUCUUGACGGUACCUAAUCAGAAAGCCACGGCUAACUACGUGCCAGCAGCCGCGGUAAUACGUAGGUGGCAAGCGUUAUCCGGAAUUAUUGGGCGUAAAGCGCGCGUAGGCGGUUUCUUAAGUCUGAUGUGAAAGCCCACGGCUCAACCGUGGAGGGUCAUUGGAAACUGGGAAACUUGAGUGCAGAAGAGGAAAGUGGAAUUCCAUGUGUAGCGGUGAAAUGCGCAGAGAUAUGGAGGAACACCAGUGGCGAAGGCGACUUUCUGGUCUGUAACUGACGCUGAUGUGCGAAAGCGUGGGGAUCAAACAGGAUUAGAUACCCUGGUAGUCCACGCCGUAAACGAUGAGUGCUAAGUGUUAGGGGGUCUCCGCCCCUUAGUGCUGCAGCUAACGCAUUAAGCACUCCGCCUGGGGAGUACGAC
This 769-nucleotide ribosomal RNA is filed under the name uncultured Staphylococcus sp. Its description in RNAcentral is "bacterial SSU rRNA". It matches the Rfam family "Bacterial small subunit ribosomal RNA", at positions 131 to 886 of the family's 1533-position model. The record is from RNAcentral. Lineage: Bacteria; Bacillati; Bacillota; Bacilli; Caryophanales; Staphylococcaceae.